This 253-nucleotide ribosomal RNA is filed under the name uncultured bacterium. RNAcentral's name for it is "partial 16S ribosomal RNA". It matches the Rfam family "Bacterial small subunit ribosomal RNA", at positions 524 to 776 of the family's 1533-position model. The record is from RNAcentral.
UACGGAGGGUGCAAGCGUUAAUCGGAAUUACUGGGCGUAAAGCGCACGUAGGUGGUUUGUUAAGCUAGAUGUGAAAGCCCCGGGCUCAACCUGGGAAUUGCAUUUAGAACUGGCAAGCUAGAGUAGGGUAGAGGGGUGUGGAAUUCCAGGUGUAGCGGUGAAAUGCGUAGAUAUCUGGAGGAACAUCGGUGGCGAAGGCGGCCCACUGGAUCGGUACUGACGCUGAGGUGCGAAAGCGUGGGGAGCAAACAGG